This 1435-nucleotide long non-coding RNA is filed under the name Parus major (Great Tit). RNAcentral describes it as "lncRNA (ENSPMJG00000001962.1)". Lineage: Eukaryota; Metazoa; Chordata; Aves; Passeriformes; Paridae. The record is from RNAcentral.
CCGGUACCGGGCUGAGGAGCUCGGCGGGGUCCCGGUGGUGGGUGGUGACACACCGGGGGUGGGGACGGUCCCGGUACCGGAGUGCGGGGACCACCGGCCCCGAACCCCGCGCUUUCUGGGGGGCCCGGACGGGGCUCCGGAGGGUCCCGGUCCCUUUCCAGCACCGGGACUGACACCGGAAGCUGAUGUCACCGGCGGGAACCGGCGCUGAGUCACGGCGGGAGCACGGGGACCGGAGGGGGGGGCGGUUCCCACGCCCUCGGGGUCAUUCAUUCAUUCAUUCAUUCAUUUAUUCAUUCAUUCGUGCAGGCCCCGCCCCCUCCGGUGUCCCCGUCCGGUGUCCCCGCUGGCAGCGGGCACGGCACGGCUCGGGAGUCCCGGCCGGGCUGUCCCAGGGUCCCGUUCCCGGUGUCCUGGUCCCGGUGUCCCGGUCCCGGUCCCGGUGUUCUGUUCGGGCUCCCUACGGUGCCCCUGAGUCCCGUUCCCGGUGUCCCGGUCCCGGUGUCCCAGCCAGGCUCUCAGGAGGUCCCGGGGGUCCUGGAAGUCCCAGCCCCGUUCCCGGGGGUCCCGGCCGGGCUCUCGGGGAGUUCCCAGCCCCAUUACCGGGGUCCUGGGGGUCCCAACCGGGUUCUCGGGGGGUUCCCGGCCCCAUUACCGGGGUCCUGGGGUUCCCAGCCCCGUUCCCGNCGCCGCGCUCCCGGCGCUCACCUGCGCGGCCCCGGCGGCCGCGGGGCUCCCGAAGGAGUCGAGCGGCGACAGGCUCCGGUUGCUCCGUAAAAAGUCCCGACGCGCCCGUCCCGGCUUCCAAAGUUGUCCGGUACAAAGCCCCCCGGUGCGCCCGUGCCUGGCUCCGGUUCGCCGCUACAAGCCCCGGUACAUCCGUCCCAAGAUCCCCGACACAAAGUUCCGCUCGGCCGCCGCAAGCUCCGGUAAAUCCCUUGCCAGGCUCCGGCACGUCCGCUCCGAGCCCCGGUGACGCUCCCGCCGCUCCCCCGGUCUCCGGUUUUAUGAAUGAACUGCUCACGGCAGCCCCGCCGCUUUAUACGGCGGGGCCCCGCCCCCCUUCGCUGACGUCACGGCAGCCGCCGCCGCUGCUCCGGGACCCCCGGGACCCCCCCGAGACUGCCCGGACCCCGCAGCCGCCGUGGCCUCGGUCGCCGCCGCCGUUUGAGGCUCCGGGAGCCGCCGCCGCCGUUAAGAGGCCCCUGGGCGGGCCGGGAGCGGGGGGGAUCCCUGUCCCCGCCCCCCGGAGUUCCUGUGACGCAAUUAGCCAUAUAUGGGCUUGUCUGGAGUGUUUGUUUGGUAUCCUAGCAAUGACGUCACAGGGAUUCCCUCCGCCGCCGCCGCCGCCGCCGCCGCCGCCGCCGCCCGGGCGCGUAUUAAUAGAAACGGGACCGAGCGCGGUUCUAGAAACGGCCUGAACCGUCCGGGCCGA